This 468-nucleotide ribosomal RNA is filed under the name uncultured bacterium. RNAcentral describes it as "partial 16S ribosomal RNA". It matches the Rfam family "Bacterial small subunit ribosomal RNA", at positions 28 to 507 of the family's 1533-position model. The record is from RNAcentral.
GACGAACGCUGGCGGCGUGCUUAACACAUGCAAGUCGAACGGAAAGGCCCUGCUUUUGUGGGGUUCUCGAGUGGCGAACGGGUGAGUAACACGUGAGUAACCUGCCCUUGACUUUGGGAUAACUUCAGGAAACUGGGGCUAAUACCGGAUAUGAGCUCCUGCUGCAUGGUGGGGGUUGGAAAGUUUCGGCGGUUGUGGAUGGACUCGCGGCUUAUCAGCUUGUUGGUGGGGUAGUGGCUUACCAAGGCUUUGACGGGUAGCCGGCCUGAGAGGGUUACCGGCCACAUUGGGACUGAGAGACGGCCCAGACUCCUACGGGAGGCAGCAGUGGGGAAUAUUGCAGAAUGGGCGGAAGCCUGAUGCAGCAACGCCGCGUGCGGGAUGACGGCCUUCGGGUUGUAAACCGAUUUCGCAUGUGACGAAGCGUGAGUGACGGUAAUGGGUAAAGAAGCAACGGCUAACUACGUG